This is a long non-coding RNA of Rana temporaria (common frog), 1235 nucleotides long. RefSeq lists it as uncharacterized. The transcript is spliced from 4 exons. Lineage: Eukaryota; Metazoa; Chordata; Amphibia; Anura; Ranidae. The record is from RefSeq and is a predicted model, not a curated record.
AUGGUCUAUGCAUAAAUCUUUUGACAUCCACUGCUCAUGAUCAAUGCUGUGACUGUAAUAUAAUCAUGUAUGUAAUCUCUGCUGUGACGGGCAUAAAUGUUUAUUUUCAGCAGAAUUUAUUUCUAUAUCUAUAAAUAAGUACUUUAUUAAUAUAUCUUUUUUCUUCCUAUAGGACCCUGUCAUGUCUCCACCGGGUGGUUUUUCCCUCUUGAGUACCUCUACAAUUUGCUACCUUUGUGGUCUCUCAGUGGGGAGGGGGAGACGCAGGGCCCUGUGUUCUCUUCUUCCUCCACAAGAUGGUGCUCACUGCGCCAUGAUGGAGGUGUUUCCUCCCCACUGACGGCGUCAGCGACGCUCCCUGGAGCCGUGGACGCCCCGUGCGCGCGCGCAGUGCGCGCGCACGUGACGUCACUGCGGCGCUCGCGAUCGCAACAGAGGGUUGGGGUUAAUUCCCUUCUCUGACGCCGAGGAGCUCACAGCUGGGAGGGUCAUCUGACCCUGGCAUCCUGGUUCAGUUGGAGGAGCCUGUUUGGGAGGGGCAGUCCACCAGGUUGGACAGGGAUUUUCCAAGCAAGGCAUCAGCUGCCUAAGAGUGAUUACCUAAGUGGAAGCACCUGACAUGCACAUACUUAAACACACUAGGUGUACACCUGACACCUGCCUGUGAUCCCAUUCCCAUACCUUACUGGAUACACCACACAGAGGAUACGCCUACUAAUGCCUCUUCUGGAAUUUGUUGCUACAAUUUAUUAUUAUACAUUCAAACAAGGCAUCACUCAGGCAGCUUGCUUUGCUGGGCCCCCUGCCCACCUGCCCGGCCCACGCUCCCUGGCUGUACUUGGAUUCCUCCCACUCACACUGUGAGUUCCUGUAGGCCACUCAUAAGGGGCAUUUCUGAGGACUCUCGUGUGGGGGUAUAGACCACCCGUAUGGAGACAAGUUAUCAGGGAUCCUCAGGACUUUAAUUCUACUCUGGUCCAAAUAAAACUGAGAAACACAACCUUUUGCAUCAUAUACCUUUUCCUCCAAAGAAGACUCACAUGCAAGGGUCGAAACGCGUCAGGAACAUUUUGACUUAAAGAUCAGCCAAUCAUGUUGAUCAAUGUCAUGCAACUUUGAUGCUUUAUCAUCAUAUGUAUGUGUUCUCAAUGUUUAAACUGUACCAGAGCUCAUUGUUUUAUAAUCAAACUUGUUCUACUUGCUAAAAUAAAUAUCUUUUCUACCUUUUUUACAAA